AGAAACAUACUACUGCUAGUUUCCUUUUGUUAUUUAUUCCAAGAAGAAAAGGGUGAAAGAAACAGUGGACCGACGCAUGGGAAAUAAAAAGAUGGCGCCAAAACAAACUCCGGCGAAACUAAACGGCGACGAGACGCCCGACGACCUCGCUACGACCAUGAGUAACACGAUACAACACCGGCAGCAGCUGCCGCUUGCUGGCUGGUAAAGUAAACAUCGCCGGCCGGUUGGACCGGCGACAGAUACAGGAGAGUAUAAGCUCGCCGUGGUCACACGGUGAGCCCGCGCAUGAACUCCCACUCCUCGUCAUCAUCCUCGGCGGCGCCCGCCGCCGACCCCUCCGAGUCGCUGCUCAUGCCGCUCGACUCCGCGCCGCUCAUGGCCGAGGCCUCCUCGGCGUCGAACGACAGGUACGGCAUUGACCCGAACGCCCUGGCGAGGGCCGCGGCGGUGGCGCCGUCGUCGGCGGUCCUCUGCUUGAGCACCUCGAACAUCACCUCCGGCUCGUGCUGCAUGGCGCGGAGCACGUCGGCGCAGGACGGGCCCGGCGCGGCGCGCGUCACCGCGAAGCAGUGCGGCCCGUCGCUCUGGGAGACGCGCACCACGCUCGGCCCGCCGAACAGGUUGUGCAGGCCGCCCAGCGCCUCCUGGUAGGCGCCGCCCAGGAACAUGCCCAGGUAGUAGCCGCGGGUGCCGUGGGUCGGGAGCUCGUGCAGAGGGAGGCUGCUCCUGCCGCCGAUGAACUGGUCCACCUUGCCGUCGCUGUCGCAGGUCAGGUCCGAGAGCACGCCGUCCACGGCGGGCCGCUCCUGGAGCCGCUGGAUGGGGAUGAUGGGGAAGAGCUGCUCGAUGGCCCACAUGUCCGGCAGCGAGGUGAACACCGACAGGUUGAUGUGGUACCUGCGCGGCCCCUCCGCCGCGCCCAUGCCGCGGGCGACGAUCUCGCACAGCCCGUCCACGGCGGCGAGGUGCUCCAGCCCGAGGACACCCUCCUUGAACUGCUCGGCGCAGCGCCGCUUCAGCUGGUCCGCGUACAGGCCGCAGGUGUCGAAGUCGCCGCGCACGGCCGAGGCCAUGAGGUUGCGGUAGUCGCUGCGGCAGUCGUCGGUGAGCUCAUCGAGCAGGUAGGCGGUCGCCGGGUCCAUCAUGUUGGAAGCCGGCGCCGUCGCGGAGAAGGCCUCGAAGAUGAGGACCGAGUGGUGCGACACCAGCGCGCGGCCGCUCUCGCUGCAGAUGACAGGGUGCUGCACGCCCUUGCGGUCGCAGACGCGGCCGACGGCGGCGACCACGGCCGCCGCGUACUCCUCCAGGCUGUAGGCCACCGACAUGUCGGUCUGCGCCGAGUGCGUCCCGUCGUAGUCGAUGCCGAGGCCGCCGCCGACGUCAAUGACGCGCAUGGCCGCGCCGAGGCGGGCGAGCUCGCAGUAGAUCUGCGCGGCCUCGCCGACCCCGUCGGCGAGCAGAGCCGUGGUGGGGAUCUGGGAGCCAAUGUGGAAGUGCAGGAGCUGGAGGCAGUCGAGCAUGGCGAGGGCCUUGAGCUUGGCCACCACGGAGAGAAUCUGCGCGGCGUUGAGGCCGAACUUGCCCUUCUCGCCGGAGGUGGCGCCGAAGUGGCCGGCGUGCUUGGUGCGCAGCUUUGCGCGCAUGCCGACCACCGGGCGGAUGUUGAGGCGGCGGCUGGCCUCGACGACAAUGUCGAGCUCCUCCUCCUGCUCGAGCACGAUGACGGUGUUGAGGCCCAUGGUGCGGGCGAUGAGCGCGAGCGAGACGUACUCGAGGUCCUUGUAGCCGUUGCAGAUGAGCAGGGCGUCGGGGCUGCCGCGGGCGACGAGGCAGCUCAUGGUGAGCAGCAGCUCGGGCUUGGAGCCGGCCUCGAGGCCGAACCCGAAGGGCGCGCCGAACUCGACGAUGUCCUCCACCACGUACCGGUCCUGGUUGCACUUGACGGGGUAGACGCCCUGGUACCGCCCGGCGUAGCCCGUGGAGCGCACGGCGUAGCCGAAGGCGGCGUUGAGGGUCUCGACGCGGUGGCGGAGCACGUCGGGGAAGCGCACGAGCAGCGGCAGCGCGAGGCCGAGCCCGCCGCCGGCGCGCGCGCCGGCGGCCCGGGCGACCACCUUGGCGAGGUCGAUCUCCUGGCCGGGCAGCGUGGCGGCGCCGUGCGGGCGCACCGCGACGUCGCCGUCGUCGUUGACGAAGAAGUAGGGCGCGCCCCAGCCGUCCACGUUGUAGAGCGCCGACGAGAGGUCGGCCGACCAGGCGGCCACCUCGGGCUUCUCGGCGGCGGCCGCGGCGACGACGGCGGCGGGGCCCAGCAUCAGCGGCGCGGCGACGAAGCGCGGCGACGCGUCGCAGGACGCGGCGAAGGGGUGGGCCACGGGGGCCGCGGCGUCCACGGCGAGCGCAGGCAUCUCGUCACGGAAAUUAACAACCGGAGAAAGCUAAUCCGCUGGGGAAAAAAGUCAGAAAUCUUUUUUGUUUCUUUGUGCUGUAGUCAGGAAUUUCUCUGCUAUUUGCUUCUGCGAAAAAUCAGAAUCCGAUGAAGAAGAAAAGAAUUGUGUGUGGCGAAAAAGCUGUAGAUCGAUCGACGAACAGCGAAGAAGAAAAUUACGGCAAAAAGUCAGUAAUUAUGAGGAUCGAAAUCUACUGGCGGGUGUUGAGAUUCCGACGAUCACUGAUGCCAAAAGAGGAAGUUCUGGAAGGGGAGGUAGAAGAAAUCUAGGACGGGAUUUUGGAUCCUGUUGUAAGGAAGGGGGCUUAGAAAGCCGCCGAGGCCGGAGCCCCGGCUACCCCCGCAAAAGUUGCAGGCGGGCGGGGGGCGCGCGGCGGGGAGGGUCGCGUCGCCGGUUGUGGAGGCUGGGCUCCCCACGCCGGCGUUCAGUCGGGGCUGGAGAAACGGCGGCGGCGCUAGGGGGGUGGAUCGAUUGGUGGUGCGGUGGAGAUGGAUGCGCAGAUGGGAGAAGGAGCGAGCGUUGCUGGCGGUGGAUGGGUUUGCGGCUGUGCGUGGCGCCGGCUUUAUAGGAGGCCCGUGGAGAGCCUCCCCCGGUCAUCCUUUUUUUUUUGAGAGAAAGAAGAGAAAGAGAGAAGCCUCCCCCGGUCAUCCAUCCUAGUGUUGGUGGCGCAGCGUGAGAUGAAAAACUUGCCGCUUCCGUUGAGCCUCGGCAGUGGACGAGCGGGGUAGGUGCGGUUUGACCCCGCCCGCCCUCCCGCGGGCCCCGCGCGUCAGUGGGGGUACGCCUCGUGGCUGCUCCGGCCUGACGGCGCUGGGAGUAGCGGUGGUUGGGGUCGUGGACGGGGCCCGUUAAUUGCGACCCAUGCCCUUGGCUUGACCUGACCUGCGAGCGGUGGUGGUUGAAUGCAUCCCCGCUCGACCAGCCGGACCCGCUCACGUUCUUUGAUCCCUCCUCGUUCUGCGCCGUCCGUCGGGGGAUCGGACGGCCGGGGAAGCCCCAGAUCGGACCUGUGCCCGGCUUUGUAUGCGGCUCAUUGGCGAGCGGCCCCGGGAUCCGCCGGGUCACGUGAGGCCGGUAGUAGCACUGUAGCAGGGGCAGGGGCGUGGGCCGUCGCAGAUCGCAUAUGCGCACCAGAACCGGGUCAAGGGCAGGCCGCGCCGGGGUCAGUCAGUCAGUGCGUGUGAACCGCACAGGCGGAUUGGGCAAACAUGGUCGAAUCGACCGCACUCUCUUCCGCACUCGUCCUUCCUUUCGCCUGCCCGCAUCGUCGGCCUCCUCCGAACUUGCUCCAAGUUUGCCCCGCCGACGUCCACCUCUAUCGUAGCCACCAAUGUACACUCCAGCAUCCGCCCACGCCUUGGAGGAUGGGUCCGUGAAGUACGUCGAGGUCCCCUGCCACUGGCGGAGCUAUGUGUUAUGGGUGAAAAAUGUUGGUCUCCCUUUGUACCUACCCGCUCAACUUUGAUGUGUAGCUCCACCACUAGAACAAGGCGGAGACAAUCGCCAACGAGAAGGCGGAGAAGAGAAUACUAGAGGAGGACAAGGACAUUGUAGAUAGAAUUUGCCGCGUCCAAGCCCUUCGUUACACCCGCCGGAGGGUUCACACUCGCACCCGACGUCGUUCUAGUGUUGAUCAACUUGAGCUAUCAAGGUCCGAUCAUGGCGGAAUCUGCUCGAUGUUCCUCCCAACUGUUAGAGUUGUGUCGAAUAUUGUGUACACGGUAGGUUACAGUUGGACUCUGAGUAGUAUUGUGUUUAGAUAGGAUAUGGAGUCGUGUCCUAGUAGGACACUUGUAUCCUAGGCCUCUCUUAUAUAGCGGGGAUAGACACACGAUGUAACCUAUGCCAACAUAAUAGCACCGGAACGCAGGGGAAGCCGGCGGCAUGUGCCGGUGUCCAGGGCGACCGGGUGCGGUAUUGUAGCGGUAUCAUGGGGAGGAGCGCCCAUAGUCAGGCCUCGGGGAUGUAGCCAUAUCGGUGAACCUCGUUAACAAAUCUCGAUGUUGUGCUCGUGUGAUUGCUUGGUCCUCGGAUGAUCGGCGGUAUGCCUCGGAUUUAUUCUAACAAGUGGUAUCAUGAGCUAGGUGAUUCAGAGAUCACGAGUCUGAUCUAGAGGAAGGUCGAAGGUGAUUGUGGCUGCGAGUUGUGUGAACAGCGAAAGCAGCGGAAUUGACCGCUCGAUGUUUGAUAGCAGAGUGGUUAAGUUGACAACAGGACAGUCAAGACGAGUCGCUGCCGAUUCAUUGGAGGACUACGGUGUGGUCAACAAAAUCAAUCAGAUGCAAUCGAGAGAGCGGUGUUUUUCGACGGAAUUGAAGCAAUCGGAAACAGUCGACAUGCCAACGUGUAGCAGCAGGAGUCCUUGGUGAAAGCGGCACGGGAACGCUGGCUGAUCAGCAUGCAUGAACCUGGCAUGCAGGGCGGCCCAGGCGGUAGGCCCGCUAGACGCGGGGCACGUGGCUGGCUGGGUCAAGGCAGGCUGUAGCAAGGAGGCACAGGCUCGGGGCGUUGCUCUGCGCAGAGGCAAAGGAGCCAUGUGGUGCGGUGUGGUGCUGUGCAUGCACGAGAGAUUUGUUUGGACAAAAGAGAAAUUCGGCACAAGGACAGUCAGCCGUGACGUGUUUGCUAUCAAGAAAGAAAUAAAAAAAGUCUAGAAGCUAUGAACGUGUGGUGAAUUAAGAGUUUGUUGAUCUCUUUUGGAGUAUUCACAUGGAAAAGCUACAAGAGAUUUUUCUUUGGGUUUCUUUGUCGGUACAGUUGUGUAUGGAUGGCGAAUGUCAACGGCUUGAGGAGUCUGGAACGUGUCAUGCAGUCGAACAAGUUCGGCUUGGUCGGACUAGCCAGUCUGACGGGAUCGACGCGAGUCGGUUGGUACAGAAGACGGUGGUGGGAUCGGCGACGACGACGUAGGAGCGUGAUGCUGAUGGUGACCGACUUCUGGGCGUGGAAACACGUGGCGCAGGCCCCGAGGGCUUGUGUGACUUCAGCAAGACUAUGGCGCGGGAUUGAUUCAAGGUGGUGUAUACAUGGAGCUUGAAGUCGAUGAGGCGCGAGGGUGGACUGAUCAUCUACCAUGGAGUCAUGUUGAAGAUGGAGCUGGAUUGGGGGGCUACGGUGUAAGGAUCCAGAGAACCGAAGCCUAUUCAGCGGAUGGAAAAAAGCGAGUGACAUGCAGUUCGGACUGGAGCCCAGUGGUCUGAUGGAAGCGUGAAACUCGUCAUCGGUCGGUGAUGAUCGAUGGUACUCUGCAGUGGAGGUUGAGUGGUGUGGGUUCGCGACCCUUGAGACUCGACCAGGACAGCGGAGGCUCGACGCGGUAAUAGCGGCGAGGCGUGCGGAGCGCACGGGACAUGGAGAUGGGCCAGGGCUCUAGUGGUCAUACAUGUGGUGAGACAACUGCGAAUUUGACUCGGAAUGACUACAAGCAAUGGUGAAUUUCCUUCAAGUUUCAGACAGGCGGUCAAGAAAGGAGCGGUGAUGUUGAGUUCAGAUAACUCUUAUGUGUGACACCCAAUAUGUGAGUUAUUCAUUUUCACGCAGGUCAGUGAUCGGGGUGUGAUGGUGUUGAACGGAUACUCUGGAAGUUGGAAGCACAAACUAGAGUAACAAGGAACUUAAUUUUGCUCGAGUGUUGACCGUGGUCAAGAAAAGAAGGGACUAAAAGUUGCAGGUGGAGUCAUAUGGAGUCUUUGGAGUAACAGCGGUGCUCAUGGGACAAGCUCAAGUCCAAUGUACAUGGAAGUUUGACGCAUGGACAAAUUCAAGGUGGUGGAGAAUAUUCGCCAAGGUGGAGUUUGUUAGAGUUGUGUCGAAUAUUGUGUACACGGUAGGUUACAGUUGGACUCUGAGUAGUAUUGUGUUUAGAUAGGAUAUGGAGUCGUGUCCUAGUAGGACACUUGUAUCCUAGGCCUCUCUUAUAUAGCGGGGAUAGACACACGAUGUAACCUAUGCCAACAUAAUAGCACCGGAACGCAGGGGAAGCCGGCGGCAUGUGCCGGUGUCCAGGGCGACCGGGUGCGGUAUUGUAGCGGUAUCAUGGGGAGGAGCGCCCAUAGUCAGGCCUCGGGGAUGUAGCCAUAUCGGUGAACCUCGUUAACAAAUCUCGAUGUUGUGCUCGUGUGAUUGCUUGGUCAUCGGAUGAUCGGCGGUAUGCCUCGGAUUUAUUCUAACACCAACCACCCUCACACCAAGUCGCUUACAUCCAGCCAAAGCAAAACAUUCGUUCCUCCAAUCCUCUCCUCCAAAGAGCUAUGCUAGCUAUAAAGGAAUAAUAAGGCCUAAUAGGCCUAUUCAUGACAUGGAAGCCACUUCGGGCUUCUUCUGACCCGCGUGGGCCUCGCGUUGCUUUCCGACUUCUGGCCCUGCUCGCUGUCGUAGUUUGAAUCCUUGCCUCCUAGUGUAUCGAGAAGAGUGCGGUGCUGUAGGAUCUGGCUAAUCCAAACAUCUAGGCUAUCGAGAAGAGUGUGAGUCACAUGUAACACGGUGAUGAUAACGAAAACUUAUAGGUUCAUCGGAAAGUUUAACAAGGGGCUAGAUAACUCGAGAGUGGGAUUUGCUCCUUCGACGAUGGAUAGAUAUUCUUAGGUCCCUCUCAGUGUGACGGCAUCCAUCAUUGUCUGGCCAAACACAGGUGACUAUGUCACGAGGAUGCCAUAACACAAUAAUGAGAAAGAAGAAUAAAACCAAUAACGAGGAUUUCGGUAUAGUGAGCACGGUGAUGACUCAAGAGGAUACCGAUGCAUACCGGUUUUUGUGAAGUAUCGGGAAGCAAAGGAAACAUCACAUGAUAACCAAAAGUUCGCUCGAAUAUCAUUCUUUACUCAUAGGGAUCGAUCUGAACGUUCACGAUUCUAUUGUCGAUCAUUGAACGAACGGUUUCGUUCAUGUCUAUGAGUUACCGAACCUACGGGGUCACAAGGUCAAGGCAAUCACGAUUUGCUGUGUGUUAUUCAGACGAGAGUGAUGAGAAUAUAUUUCUGAAAUUGUUUCAUUAAUAAUCAGAAUAGUUUCGAGAGAAUCCGAAAGCGUUUCGGGCUCAGCGCUAUACAAAACACGAAAACCUUUUUUUCUACCUGACGCGCGGGACUAAAUAAAAUCAUAAAACAACCUCUACAGAUCCCUAAUAAAACCACUACAUAAGAGGCGGUUCAUUUUAUUCAUUAUUUACAAAUCAAUGCUAACUUUUGUGAACAUUUUCUAAAAUUUUAUGGACAUUUUUUCAAACUCUUAAAUACUAUUUGAAUACUGGAUCAUUUUUAAAAAUAAUGAACAUUUAUUUGAAAUAGUUAUGUUUUUAUAAAUAUGCGAAGAAUUUUUUGAAAUUGUGAACAUUUUACGAUUACCCAAAAGUUUUUUGAAUUUAUAAACAUUUUAUAAUUUCUCAAUACAUUUAAAAAACUCGCAACUUAUCGAAAUUUGGUUAUUUUGAAAAUCCUAAAUUAAUUUAAAGAAAAAAAAGCAAAAACAGAAAUGAUAAAGUAAAGAGCAAAUAAAACGAAAUAGAAAAUAGGGGGCGGCAACACGCACAUGGGCCAGCCCAUUGCCGCGUGCUAGAGAGAGAAAAUGCAAUAAAAGUGGGUUAAACCAAGAAUCGCACCCUGGUCCACCGUGUUGAAAUGUGCGACCUUAGCCUUUUAGCUACUCAUGUGUUCGUGUUAUUUAAGUGUAUCAGCAUAUAUGAGCGAAACCUAGUGGCGAUUUUGAAUGAAAAACGAAUCAUUUUUCUUCACUUGAAUAUUAUCAACUUUUAGACACUUUUAAAGACGGAAUAGGCAGAAGCAAUCUGUGCUUUAUUGUUAGAUAAAGAUUUAAUACCAACGGGCCUUAAAAAGGCCAAGAGGUGGAAGGUAACUUGGGCCACAAAGGUCGAAGUGUUAGAAGCCCAAUGUGGUUCUAAUCUCCUUCCUCUAAUUCUCUGACGAUGAUUAGCUUUGGACGGUGAAGCGCUAAUGGAUCGUGAAGGUUGCACGCUUGCAACCAAGUAGAGAGCCCGUGAUUUCGGUCUUCGGUUCGAGUGACUGUUUGUGGGCGGUUUGCGGGAUCGUUCAUCAACGGUUCGAGGUACUCCAAAUACGAUCUACACUGAUACGGUCUUCUUUCGCUGCAACUCGGUGACGGUAACGAGAUUUUGGAUGUGCAUAGGCGUGAAUUUCUUUUGUUUUCUACUACGUUUUCCAACAACGCCGUCGUGCUGACCUAGAUCCCAUCUAUCUCUCCACCCUAUUUUGCUGGAUCAAGAUGAUGGAGACGUCACCGAGCCGCACACGUGCAUAUCUCGGAGGUGUCGUCCGUUAGACGCUGGAUUGAAUUGGAUCGCGAAGGAAGUACGACUACACCAACCACGAUCUUUAGAUUGUUGGCGCUUUUGGUUUAUAAGGGUAUGUAGACACUUCCCCUCUCAUUGCUAGCAUCUUCGUAGAAUUGAUCUUGAGUUUUUCGUAGAUUUUUUUUGUUUUCCUUGCAACAUUCCUCAUCAGCCGGGUCCGACGUGCCCUGUGGCGUCCGGGCCACCACAUAUCCGCCCCAUAUUUGAGCUGGUUAUGAGGUAUACCAGCCAGCCGUCUGGGUCGGGCUUUGUUAUUUCCAAAUGUUUUUGUGUUUGAUUUUCCAUUAUAAGCCGAUUCAACUCUCUUCUUGUGUAUGCGAAAAUUGUGAGAGGUCCCCAUUCCUUGAUGAGGUUCCCAAAAACAGUUUAUUUUUCAUAAGGUAGAAAAUUGUGAUCGAACUGUCUUUGGAAAAACAACAUGUGAUCCAACUGCCUUCGUAAUUGUAAACAAGAAGUAUGCUUAUUUGGAAAAGAAAAGUAUGUGUAUAUCCGAAAAAAAAACAAAACAAGAAGUGUGUUGAUGGUCAUGACAGAAAAGAAGAACAAAAAAAGCGUGCGUGACUGAUCGAACACCCACCAUCCGUUCGACUAGGGAUUGAGGUCGAUAGUACUGCAGUGCAGUAGUGAGCACAGCAAAGAGGACCCGUGCGAGCAAGCAAACGGCGAGAUUCGAGCGGCGCGAGGCGAAAAGAUAGAGAGAAGAGGAGACCCGCCGGGCGGCCCCUUGCGCCGUCUGCUUUUCCGCAUGCCCGCAACGGCUUGUGCGCUCCGCACCACGAAUCCAACGAAAGUGACAUGACCCCUGCGGCCCUGCAUGCGUCGUCCAUGACGGGAGGAAGGAAUCCAACCAGAUCCGCCCGCGGCAGGACCGCGUCGAGACGCCGCGUGGCUGCUGCCGGGACCCACCCCCCUCCUCUCUCUCCCACGACCGCGUAUUCCCGCCACCACCCAAACCAAAGCCGCAUCUAUCUCCAACACUGCUCCCGUUGCGUGGCCGCGAAGGCGAGGACGACGAUCGUGGCUUUCGGCCGACGGGCUCCGGCCGCCAGCCGCAGCCGGGAUUGUUCGUGCGUUGAUAGAGGGGCGACGAGUCCGGGAAAUAUCCAGAUCCUUUUGGCUCCGGCCGCAUGCCGGAUUGGUGGUGCACGCACACGGCGACUCUGUCAGCCGGUCGCCAUGCUCUAGUGUAUACUCUAGAGGCUCUAGCUGGGGUAGCUAGCAGCGGCCGUCUCCACUUCGUUCUCCAACAGCGACUCCAUCGGCGACUUGUGAUCAGCUGUGACCUGCGAAUGUGUAAGAGUCGGACAAGUUACCGACCGAGCUGUUUUGCCCUGUCCACACGUCUUGGUCUCUGUCAUGCAUGUGUUGUGAUGGUGAGAUGUAUACUAGCUAGUAACUUGAGCUAUUGUUUCACCAACGCACUAUUAAAUUUUCCAAUGAGCAGAAGAUGGUUUUGAAAAACGAAGCAUGUGCGAUACCAAUUUUGCAAACUCCACGGUGGCCUCCUUUGCAAAUUAGGGCUUUCAGGUCAUCUACAGUGGAAAAACAACAGAUGCCAUCUCCCUUUUGUCCCUGGUCUGAGCCCAUUUGUCCGCAAAAGGCGCGAGGCCCAACGGCGUGCCCCCAUUAUUCCUCCCACAUUUGGCACCCCAACAUUUUUGCUCAUUUUCCAAAUUUUCAACCAAAUUUGAAUACUCUAAAAGACAUAGUUAAAACAUAGAAAUAUAUAGUACAAUUUUUUUUUAAAAAUUACAUGGUUCAAAUUAGGAAAAAAUGUUUAAACAAAAAUAUAAUUCAUAGGACAUUGUUCAAACAUUAAAAAACAAAGGACAUCGCAAAUCUAUUGAUUUCCAUGAUGUAGCCACAAAUGCUCUAUGAGAUCAUCGAGGAGUUGUUCAUGCACUUCUCGGUCUCAAAGUUAUCAAUGCAUCUCGAGAAAAUGCGCAACUAGAUUGGCCCCUCUUGUUAUGAGAGGUGGACAUGUUCUCCCGGCGACUGGAUUUAUCAAAAUCAACAUUACCCAAACAAUCGCCAUCACCCUCAACAGCCAUGUUGCGCAUAAUCACACAUGCAGUUUAUCACCUCCCGCAAUAUCUAGGGAUCCCACGCAGUAGACAAAAACCCACCGAGCUUGUAGCACCAUGCCCUCUUGAAAUAUCUAAUUGGCUACAAAAUAGGCGUGGUAGAGAUCAACAUGGACCUUUGCCUACUCCAAUAAAUAGUUAUCCUACCCGAGGUAGAACCCUUGAGGUUGAGAACAUGCACAUCUUGCUUCUCCAUUGCUUCGAGGAUACUCAACAUCAUCAACUCAUAAUCGUCAGUACCGCCAUCCAAUAAUGACGAGUCGAAGAACUCGUUUCACUUAAAAUCACCACAUGUGUCCAUGGUGUGUCCUCCGCAAAUGUGAAAAGAAGUGGUCAAAUUGUGUGCAAACAUUUUUGUCGGACAUGUGGUGUCUAAGGUGGACGUGAGCGGUAGGACUUAAUGGGGUAGCGUGUUUAGAGGCGAUGCUUGGGGUGGGGUUUAGACUACGGACAGCACCCGUGUCUUGGUUGAGUGUUCGAGGUGGGCACAAGACAGGGUGGGGGUGUAGCUAGUGGGAGGAAUAGAGAAAGAGAGGACAAAGAAAGUAGACCUAGGGAUGGAGAUUUAAUGUGGUGAUGUUUAAGGUGGGGCCUACGUGUGUUUGGGCUGACAUGACGAUUAAUUUAGGGAAACCGGUGAAGACCACACACACCGGACAAACCGGAGGAGCCCAUUGGACAACAUUUUGUGUUUGGCAAGGGCAACACUCCAACGUCGUGCAUCAAAACGCCCCUAAACGUGCGGACAACGCGGUCCAGACACUCUUGCUAGCCAAGGUCAUGCACAAAAUAUCUGCGGUCCAGACACUCUUGCUAGCCAAGGUCAUGCACAAAAUAUCUGCAGACCGAUCUGGAUGCCCAAAUUCCCACAAACGGGAAGCAAACCAUGGAGAGGUUUGCGAAUAUUCGCACGCGUCCCACGUUGGCGUCCGGUUGCACGGUCCCACCUAAAGCCUUGUUCUAGUACAAGGCAUUUUGAUGCGACGACAACCGCCUACCACAUUCAUGCCGGUCAGACUGACGUGACCGAAUGGCUGACCGGCACCGCAUCAAAGCGGAUGUGAUGACCGAGAAGCCACUGUGCCCACAUUGAAGUGGCGUCGGAUUGUUUGCCCCGACUACUUAAAGCAGUCAUAGCUCGCCAACAAACCCUAUCUCCUUCCUCAGCAUAGCGCCGUCUAUCCUCCUCUCCUCACCUCUCAUCUGCACGCCGGAGUGAUGGGCAACUCUGACGGCUAGUCUUGGCGCUGGCGGGUGGAUCGGCGCGGAGGUGCGGAUCAUUGCGCCACCACGAUCGUGGCAUGCACCACUCCGAUGAGCGAGGAGAAGGUGUUGCUCUCCGACGACGACAAGGAGCAGCCGCCCCUCCUUGCCAAGGUACUACUAUCCAAACGGACAUAUACGGGCAUACGACAAACUAGGGAGGCCCAUGGAGAUGCCUACAAUUUUGCUCUUUUUGAUGUACUAGUGUUGUUUGCCCAUCCAUGUGUAGGUGUGCAACCAAUAUGUUUGGCGCCGUCCCUCUCGUGGCACCUGUCGUGGUUCCAAGUCUGACAAUAGUGUAGGGGGGGUAAGUAUGGAGAGGUAAGAUCUUAGCUAUGGAGAAGUUGUAAGCACGCAAGGUUUACGAGUUCAGCCCCUUCUCGGAAGAAGUAAUAGCCCUACGUCUCGGAGCUCAGAGGCGGUCGACUGGAUUAUGUGUGUAUGAAUUACAGGGGUGCGAACCCUUUACACCGAGGAGGGGUUGGCUUAUAUAGAGUCCGCCAGACCCCUCCAGCCCUCAGUUAUGCAGGGUUUUAAGUACAUUAAGGUCGGGCGUUACUGGUAACGCCCCUAAUAAAGUGCUAUGAUGAUCAUAAAAGCUACUUAAUGACCGACCAUUAGCGUGCGGAGUGACUUUAGGUCUCCUGGCCGUCGGGUGGUUGGAUCUUGGUCGAGUGGUUGCUUCUUGGUCGAGUGUCUUCGAGUCCGUCGAGUGAAACACCGCCAAGUCGAUUGAAAUGUGAUUUCUUCUUGAGGUGUCCUUGGGUAGGUCAGUUUGGACAGGUCCAUGGCCCUACCUUAGGUACAUAGCUUCAUCAUUAGCCCCCGAAUGGAUCGAGGUUUGAGUGGGAAAGGGUUUGAGCACAUCUCUGACUCAUUUUUCAUGUCGUGAACAUACCUUGUUUCGGAUCAAUGGACCAGAGUGAUAACAACAACUUUCUUUCCAGUCGCCUUGACCCAUUCUUAGGUUUUGUCGAGUGAGUUCUUAUACUUGAAGAGUUCUGAGUGACGGUGUGGAGGAGAUCUUCGGUCCGACGAGUUGUUCUGCAGCCCGCGGAUUUCGUGGGAUCCAAAUUUCGAGAAGCGCGCGGGACGGGAGAGGCCGCAGUAAACGGAUGGGAUAGCGCGGAGUUGCCUCGAUCCCCGCGCCACCUUUUUCGCCACGUAUCGCGCGCGCGAUCGCCACGGGAUUUGGCAGGGCCGUCCGGGCCUACCAGUCAGCCACUCGGAAGCAGCCUCAUAUAAGGUGUUGGGCCGGGGCUCUGUUUCGCACGCCACCAUUCUCUCUCUGUUUUCUCCCGAUUUCUCCGCCACCCUUGCUCCCGUCUCGUCGCCGGAUCUCCGCUCGAGCUCGAACUGCCACCAUGGGGAAGGACAAGACGGCGGCGUUGGAACGCGCGAAAAAGGCAACCGCAAAGGUGAAGGGCAAGCAGACCAACCGAGGCGGAUACUCGUCGAGGUCCGGCCUGCCGGCGGGAUGGAUCCAGGGCGACUGGAUCCGCUCGGCAAUCACGCGGGACGACCUCGAUGACCUGGUGGAAGGGGGAUUUAUUCCCCACAAGUCGGCUCGGCUCCCGAGAGACGAAACUGAGCCGCAGCCCAGAGAGGGUGAGUGCGUCCUCUUAGCAACUCACAUAGAUCGUGGGUUCUCGCUGCCUCCCCACCCUUUCUUCCGGUUUUUUUUGAACUUCUUUGGGGCUCAGCUCCACCAUUUUACUCCGAAUACCAUAGUCUAUCUGGCCGCUUUCGUGUCUAUGUGCGAAAACUUCUUGGGCUGUCGACCGCACUGGGGGCUCUUCAAACAUAUCUGCACUUGCUGUUCCCAGUCCGUCAAGAAGACCAAGUCGAGUGACGAGAGGACUCGGGUGAUCCAGAUGUGCGGUGGUCUGGGGAUCCAGAUGAGGAGCAAAAGUACCUUCCCAGUGAUGAUCCUUCCUGACUCGGUCCGGGGCUGGCAGUCGACUUGGUUUUACUGCAAGGAUCAGCCGACCCCUGGCCAGUCGACUGGGCUUCCUCCUUUCUCCUUGGCUCAAGUGGAGAAGCCUGCUCCCCUGAAGAUAGUUUCAGAAGAGAAGGCACAGGUCAAGAAGCUAGUCGAAUGGGUCGUCCAGCUCGUUCGCGACGGAGUGACCGAGAUGGAUCUGCUGGAGGUCUUUCUCGGUCGACGCAUCCAACCCCUUCAGGCGCGCGAUCAUCCGAUGUGGAUGUAUUCUGGGCUCGAAGAUACCACUUGGAUUCACCCGGAGGAGGUCAGUGAGGAUACCUUGGAGAGCUGGUUGAGAGGAAUCACUGGCAACAAAGACAACCCUCGGGGAUCCAGGAGGGUGAUUCCAUUCGACAACUCGCGUCAGCCGGAGCAGGUAUGUUUCUGUAAGUAACUUUCCGACUCUCCAUGUGAUGUCCCAUUUGCGGUCGACUGAAUGUCUUUUGAUUGUUAUUUUUUCAGGCCCUCAUUGAAAUGUACUCGAUGCCCAAUGGAGAGCAAGGGCAAGACUUGGAAGGCGAGGCGAGCGGCGGCGACAGUGGCGAGUGGACUUCUGAUGGUGAAGAGGAUGGAGAAAGCGAAGACUCAAGCGACGAAGAAGAAGUUGAGUCGCCUCCUCGCAGGGAGAGGCGAUCCAAACUUGCCCAAGAACGACCGAGCGUCCGUGAAAAGGCGACUACUCAAGCUGGUCAAUCUUCGAAGCGUCCUCGGAUCUCUUCACCAACCCCGACCGAGAAAGCGCCCAAGCACCCCAAAGUUGCGGAGCCGAAAAUCCGGAAGGCGUUGCCGAAGAUUAAGAUUGACAUCCCCGUCGCUUCUGCGUAAGUGUCUUCCUCUGUAUACACUCGACGCUCAGCGCCGUUUGUUUUUCUUGUUUUAAUCGGACGAACUUUGGAACCGUCAAUGCUGCCACUUCCGGGACCUCAGCUUACAGGGACGAUGAUGAGGUGAUGGAGUAUGCGGUCACUUCUAAUCUGGCUAUGAUUUCUGCCAUAUUGUCUUUGUUCGGUCGAUUCAACUGCAAUGUGCAUCAUUGGGUGACGUGAUUUUGGCAAUUGAACUUUGCACAGCUCCCAACAUUAUUGACCUCCCCGAUGAUGAUGAAGAGCCCGAGAGGUCUUUGACGAGGAAGAACAAGAAAGCUCCUGCAAGCGAGGCGCUUCAUUCGACGUCGAGGGCGGAACCAGUCGUUCAGGACACCGACGACGCCAAUCGGGGUUUUGUUACCUUCGUUGUGCCACUGUCGAGUGCCUUGCCUUCUUCAUCGACUGCUCAGGCCCCUGUCGACCCACCUUCAGUUUUUGCGACCCAUCAUGUCCCAGAAGAUGAAGUGAAUGCUGCCAGGGAAGCUAUACGCCAGGCGGGCGUCAUGAUGGAGAAGAUGAAGACGGUGCGGGACGCCAGUCAGGCUGCCUACGACGCGAGCUCGGCUCUCCAAAGCAACGUUCAGGUUAGUUGGUCGCCGCUUGUUCUGUUAGGAUAUGAUAUCUGAAGACUCUUUCCGAAAAUCUUUGCAUCUGUACACCCACUGGGUGCGUCGAUUGAAAUUUUUGAACCGGUGGGGGCACGCUGAGUGCACCCACUGGGUGUAGUCCCCGAGACUACGGUGGACUGCUGGCAGUCGACUGUAGUCGUUGUAUUUUUUCGAAUGAAUAAACCAAACUGGUGGUUUGUCUCUUCCACUCGGUCUGGUUGAGUGGGAUCAGAACCGGUAGGGGCACGUAAAGUGCACCCACUGGGUGCAGUCCCCGAGACUACGGUGGACUGCUGGCAGUCGAUUGUAGUCUGAGUUCUACUUUCUCUUCUUUUUUUAACUUCCUGGACUCGACUUCGGCGGGCCGGUCGAGUGGGAUCAGAACCGGUGGGGGCACGCAAAGUGCACCCACUGGGUGUAGUCCCUGAGACUAUGGUGGACUGCGGGCUGUCGACCGUGGUCUUAGUAUUUAUUCCCUUUGUUGUUUUUCGCUGUAAAAUAACUUCUCCUCUUUGAUUGUAGAAAUCUUGUGAUCUGGGAGCUCGCUUUGCUGAUUUGGAGAAACAGCAGAUCCAACUGAACCUUGACUUAGAGCUGGCCAAGACAGAGCUGCAAAAGGCGAAGGAUGGUGCCAAUGGUAAGACGAGUUUGUCGACUGGUUUGCCUUGGGCUUCAGUACCCUUCCGCUCUUUCUGAAUCAAGCACCAUUUCUUUGCAGAAAAGCUGAGAGAAGCUCUGGCAAAGAAGGACCAGGAUCUGGUUGCUGCCCGAAAGGAAGCUGACGACAGAAUCUCUUUGGCCGAACAGAAGCUGGCUUCCGUCGGCCAGUUGGAAGAAGAGAAUACCAGGCCGAAGUCUGCUCUGAAUGACUCCAACAAGGAGUGCUCGCGCUGGAAGAAGGCGAAUCUCGUUCAGGGUGAGAAAAUGGAAAGCAUUGCUCCCAGGAGGGAUGAUCUGGAGAGCUAUCUAAGAAGUCUUGCCAAGAAGUUGUUCAUCAAGCUUGAAGGUGCACAUUCUGUUUCGACUGAUUUUUUUUCUUGAUGUCGACUCAGUGUACAAAAAUUGACUUAUCCUUGGAUCGUGAAUGCAGAGUUUUGCCAGGACUUUGAAGAGGAGACUGGGCGGAUCGAACCGGGUUUGGAUCCAAUCAACUCUCCCGUGAAAGAUGAAACUGCCAUGAAUCUGCUCCGACUGGAAUCUCGCAUCGACGGUGCCGUGGACUACUUGGCUCGACUGAAGGUCGCCAUGUCACGGAUCGACCCGGCACUUUGGCCAGAGGCCACACUCUAAAACGAUCUUGAGUCUCUGAUGACUCGACUUAACGGAAUCCCUGACCGAGUGCAGGAGUGGAAGAAGUCUUCUACUCGGUGUGGCGCUGAUGUGGCCCUGUCUUUGGCGACAAGAUAAGCUGGCCGCAAUCAAGGUCGCCAACACCCAAAAGCAUGACUUCCGAACUUUUAUGGAGACUUUCAUUGCUGCCGCCACUCGGAUUGCUGAUGGCGUCGACCUGGAUGAGUUCGUCGAGCCUGCCAGCCCUCCUCCUACGAAGUGAACAAACUUUUAUGCCCCACCUUAAAUUUUCCUCGGAAUGUCGAGUGGUUUUUGUAACCGUUAAACUCUUUCGGGUUGAAUGCCUGAGCACUUUGACCUGUGGUCCGGACCCUUUAGGAUUUAUCUGAACUCGGUUUAUCGUUGAAUAUCUUUAUGAAUCCCCCGUCGAGUGGAAAUAGUUCUUCUUUCGAGACAACUUUUUUGUACUUGUGGCGCGACUCCGAAGGGGAAGGUAGCAGUCGACCUGCACCUCGUUACUGCAGAGCAGGAUGGAGUGCACGUUGUAUUUGUGGCGAAGCUCUCCAAGCAGGAGGUGGUCGUCGAUCUGCAGCUUGUUACUGCAGAGCGGGAUGUGUUUCGUACUUAGGCGAGUACCCGGCCGCAGCUAAGUCUUCAAACGAGAAAACUUAGGCAAGUACCGGACUGCAGCUAAGCCCCCGAGUGGGAGGACUGCUCUUUACUCGGUAGGAUUUUUCAAACUUAGGCGAGUGCUUGACUGCAGCUAAGUCCUCAAGCGAGAGAACUUAGGCGAGUACUAGACUGCAGCUAAGCCUCCGAGUGGGAGGGUUGCUCUCCACUCGGUAGGAUUUUUUGUUUUUCAAACUUAGGCAAGUGCCUGACUGCAGCUGAGUCCUCAAGAGAGAGAACUUAGGCGAGUACUGUACUAUAGCCAAGCCCCCGAGUGGGAGGGCUGCUCUCCACUCGGUAGGAUUUUUUCAAACUUAGGCGAGUGCCUGACUGCAGCUAAGUCCUCAAGAGAGAGAACUUNNNNNNNNNNNNNNNNNNNNNNNNNNNNNNNNNNNNNNNNNNNNNNNNNNNNNNNNNNNNNNNNNNNNNNNNNNNNNNNNNNNNNNNNNNNNNNNNNNNNNNNNNNNNNNNNNNNNNNNNNNNNNNNNNNNNNNNNNNNNNNNNNNNNNNNNNNNNNNNNNNNNNNNNNNNNNNNNNNNNNNNNNNNNNNNNNNNNNNNNNNNNNNNNNNNNNNNNNNNNNNNNNNNNNNNNNNNNNNNNNNNNNNNNNNNNNNNNNNNNNNNNNNNNNNNNNNNNNNNNNNNNNNNNNNNNNNNNNNNNNNNNNNNNNNNNNNNNNNNNNNNNNNNNNNNNNNNNNNNNNNNNNNNNNNNNNNNNNNNNNNNNNNNNNNNNNNNNNNNNNNNNNNNNNNNNNNNNNNNNNNNNNNNNNNNNNNNNNNNNNNNNNNNNNNNNNNNNNNNNNNNNNNNNNNNNNNNNNNNNNNNNNNNNNNNNNNNNNNNNNNNNNNNNNNNNNNNNNNNNNNNNNNNNNNNNNNNNNNNNNNNNNNNNNNNNNNNNNNNNNNNNNNNNGGAUUUUUUGUUUUUCAAACUUAGGCGAGUGCCUGACUACAGCUGAGUCCUCAAGAGAGAGAACUUAGGCGAGUACUGGACUGCAGCUAAGCCCCCGAGUGGGAGGGCUGCUCUCCACUCGGUAGGAUUUUUUCAAACUUAGGCGAGUGCUUGACUGCAGCUAAGUCCUCAAGCGAGAGAACUUAGGCGUGUACUGGACUGCAGCUAAGCCUCCGAGUGGGAGGGCUGCUCUCCACUCGCUAGGAUUUUUUUUCAAACUUAGGCAAAGCGGAUUUGCAGCUAAGACUCCGAGUGGGAGGCUGGCUCGCCACUCGGUAGGAAAUCAUUUUUAUAAACUUAGGUGAAGCGGAUUCGCAGCUAAGACACCCACUCGGGGAUUUCUUACAUAAACAAAAACAAUAAUAAUCACUGGGAAAAUUAUAAUGCUCUUGUCUUUGAUAAAUAAACUACAGGAGUUUUUUUUCUUUUCUUAUUACAUCUUAUCUGAAUGAUAACUCAAGUAUAAAAGGGGCGGAGUAGCUCCGCAUUCCAGGCUCGUGGCUCAUCAAUCUGGCGAUCGACAUUGUAGAGGUGGUAUGCUCCAUUGUGGAGGACUCUGGUGACUAUGAAGGGGCCUUCCCAAGUAGGAGCGAGCUUGUGUGGUUUCUGCUGAUCCACUCGGAGGACUAAGUCUCCUUCUUGGAAGGCUCGGCUCUUCACGUUUCUGGCAUGGAAUCGACGCAAGUCUUGCUGAUAGAUGCUCAAUCGAAUCAAGGCCAUUUCUCUUUCUUCUUCUAGGAGGUCGACUGCGUCUUGCCGGGCUUGUUCUGCUUCAUCUUCAGAGUAGAGCUCGACUCCAGGAGCGUUGUGAAGCACGUCACUCGGUAAGACUGCCUCGGCUCCGUAGACCAGAAAGAAUGGGGUUCUUCCGGUCGAUCGAUUCGGGGUUGUUCUUAAUCCCCAAAGGACUGAUGGAAGCUCGUCGACCCAUGCACCUGCUGCGUGCUUGAGAUCGCGCAUCAAUCGGGGUUUCAGUCCUUUGAGAAUCAGGUCAUUCACCCUUUCUGCUUGCCCGUUCGACUGGGGGUGAGCGACCGAAGCAUAGUCGACUCGAGUGCCCUGAGAGGCGCAAAAGGCCCUGAAUUUGUCGGAAUCGAAGUUUGACCCGUUGUCGGUGAUGAUGCUGUGUGGAACUCCAUAUCUGAAUAUCAACUCUCUGAUGAAAUUGAUAGCGGUGCAAGCAUCAAGAUUCUUGAUAGGCUUGGCUUCAAUCCAUUUGGUGAACUUGUCAACUGCUACCAGCACAUGAGUGAAGCCGCUCCUGCCUGUUCUCAGUGGUCCAACCAUGUCCAGCCCCCAAACAGCGAAGGGCCAGACGAGUGGAAUGGUUUUCAGGGCUGACGCGGGAUUGUGAGGCAUAUUGGAGUAAUACUGACAUCCUUCACAUUUGUCGACUAUCUCUUUUGCCAUCUCAUUGGCUCUUGGCUAGUAGAACCCCGCUCGGUAUGCUUUAGCCACAAUGGUCCGAGAGGACGCAUGAUGACCACAGGUCCCCGAGUAGAUAUCGUUAAGGAUCAUCUGACCUUCUUCUGGUGUGAUACACUUCUGGCUGACCCCAGUCGCGCUUUCUCUAUAUAACUGUCCCUUUAUGAUUGUAAAGGCCUUGGAUCGACGGACGAUCUGUCGAGCCUCUUCUUCGUCUUCUGGGAGUUCUUUCCUUAGGAUGUACGCGAUGUACGGUUCUGUCCAGACAGGAGUGAUAACCAAGACUUCCAUGAUCAGGUCGACCACAGCUGGAACUUCAACUUCAGUCGGAUCCGUGGCGCUUUUUGGCUGCGGGGCCUCUUCAGUGAAGGGAUCCUCCUGGACUGAUGGUGUGUGGAUGUGUUCCAAAAACACAUUGCUGGGAAUGGCUUCUCUUUUGGAACCUAUUUUUGCCAGAUCAUCAGCUGCUUGAUUUUUCAGUCGGGGUAUGUGAUGAAGCUCUAACCCCUCGAAUUUCUUCUCCAGCUUUCUCACUGCAUUGCAAUAACCAGUCAUGGCUGGACUUCUGACGUCCCAUUCCUUCAUCACUUGAUUAACCACCAAAUCUGAGUCGCCAUAGACCAUGAGGCGACGGACGCCGAGUGAAAUGGCCAUGCGCAACCCAUAUAAAAGUGCUUCGUAUUCUUCCUCGUUGUUAGAGGAAUCGAAGUGGAUUUGAAGAACAUAUCCGAGUUUAUCUCCUCUGGGGGAGACCAACACCACUCCGGCGCCGGAACCAUUUAGCAUCUUGGAACCGUCGAAGAACAUGGUCCAAUGCUCCGAGUGAACCUGAGUCGGCAGUUGCUGUUCAAUCCACUCGGCGACGAAAUCCGCGAUUGCCUGGGACUUGAUAGCUUUCUUUGCCUCAAACUUUAUACCUAGAGGAAGGAGUUCAA
RNAcentral lists this long non-coding RNA (20849 nucleotides) under Triticum aestivum (bread wheat). RNAcentral's name for it is "long non-coding RNA (TAES_LNC014062)". Lineage: Eukaryota; Viridiplantae; Streptophyta; Magnoliopsida; Poales; Poaceae. The record is from RNAcentral.